ACUCAAAGGAAUUGACGGGGACCCGCACAAGCAGCGGAGCAUGUGGUUUAAUUCGAAGCAACGCGAAGAACCUUACCAGGGCUUGACAUCCCCCUGACAGGCGCUUAGCCGCGCCCUCCUCCGGGCAGGGGAGACAGGUGGUGCAUGGUUGUCGUCAGCUCGUGUCGUGAGAUGUUGGGUUAAGUCCCGCAACGAGCGCAACCCUUGCCAUUAGUUGCCAUCAUUAAGUUGGGCACUCUAGUGGGACUGCCGGGGAUAACUCGGAGGAAGGUGGGGACGACGUCAAAUCAUCAUGCCCCUUAUGCCCUGGGCUACACACGUGCUACAAUGGCCGGCACAGCAAGCUGCAAUGCCGCGAGGCGGAGCAAACCUCAAAAACCGGCCCCAGUUCGGAUUGCAGGCUGCAACUCGCCUGCAUGAAGCCGGAGUUGCUAGUAAUCGCAGAUCAGAAUGCUGCGGUGAAUGCGUUCCCGGGUCUUGCACACACCGCCCGU
This 494-nucleotide ribosomal RNA is filed under the name uncultured bacterium. Its description in RNAcentral is "bacterial SSU rRNA". It matches the Rfam family "Bacterial small subunit ribosomal RNA", at positions 899 to 1397 of the family's 1533-position model. The record is from RNAcentral.